UUUAAAUUUAGAGUUUGAUCCUGGCUCAGGACGAACGCUGGCGGCGUGCUUAACACAUGCAAGUCGAGCGAUGAAGCUUCCUUCGGGAAGUGGAAUUAGCGGCGGACGGGUGAGUAACACGUGGGUAACCUGCCUCAAAGUGGGGGGAUAGCCUUCCGAAAGGAAGAUUAAUACCGCAUAAUAUAGGAGAAUCGCAUGAUUUUCUUAUCAAAGAUUUAUUGCUUUGAGAUGGACCCGCGGCGCAUUAGCUAGUUGGUAAGGUAAUGGCUUACCAAGGCAACGAUGCGUAGCCGACCUGAGAGGGUGAUCGGCCACAUUGGAACUGAGACACGGUCCAGACUCCUACGGGAGGCAGCAGUGGGGAAUAUUGCGCAAUGGGGGAAACCCUGACGCAGCAACGCCGCGUGGGUGAUGAAGGUCUUCGGAUUGUAAAGCCCUGUUUUCUAGGACGAUAAUGACGGUACUAGAGGAGGAAGCCACGGCUAACUACGUGCCAGCAGCCGCGGUAAUACGUAGGUGGCGAGCGUUGUCCGGAUUUACUGGGCGUAAAGGGUGCGUAGGCGGAUGUUUAAGUGGGAUGUGAAAUCCCCGGGCUUAACCUGGGGGGCUGCAUUCCAAACUGGAUAUCUAGAGUGCAGGAGAGGAAAGCGGAAUUCCUAGUGUAGCGGUGAAAUGCGUAGAGAUUAGGAAGAACACCAGUGGCGAAGGCGGCUUUCUGGACUGUAACUGACGCUGAGGCACGAAAGCGUGGGUAGCAAACAGGAUUAGAUACCCUGGUAGUCCACGCCGUAAACGAUGGAUACUAGGUGUAGGGGGGUAUCAACUCCCCCUGUGCCGCAGUUAACACAAUAAGUAUCCCGCCUGGGGAGUACGGUCGCAAGAUUAAAACUCAAAGGAAUUGACGGGGGCCCGCACAAGCAGCGGAGCAUGUGGUUUAAUUCGAAGCAACGCGAAGAACCUUACCUGGACUUGACAUCCCUUGCAUAGCCUAGAGAUAGGUGAAGCCCUUCGGGGCAAGGAGACAGGUGGUGCAUGGUUGUCGUCAGCUCGUGUCGUGAGAUGUUAGGUUAAGUCCUGCAACGAGCGCAACCCUUGUUAUUAGUUGCUACCAUUAAGUUGAGCACUCUAAUGAGACUGCCUGGGUAACCAGGAGGAAGGUGGGGAUGACGUCAAAUCAUCAUGCCCCUUAUGUCCAGGGCUACACACGUGCUACAAUGGUAGGUACAAUAAGACGCAAGACCGUGAGGUGGAGCAAAACUUAUAAAACCUAUCUCAGUUCGGAUUGUAGGCUGCAACUCGCCUACAUGAAGCUGGAGUUGCUAGUAAUCGCGAAUCAGAAUGUCGCGGUGAAUACGUUCCCGGGCCUUGUACACACCGCCCGUCACACCAUGAGAGCUGGUAACACCCGAAGUCCGUGAGGUAACCGUAAGGAGCCAGCGGCCGAAGGUGGGAUUAGUGAUUGGGGUGAAGUCGUAACAAGGUAGCCGUAGGAGAACCUGCGGCUGGAUCACCUCCUUUCUA
RNAcentral lists this ribosomal RNA (1521 nucleotides) under Clostridium botulinum. Its description in RNAcentral is "bacterial SSU rRNA". It matches the Rfam family "Bacterial small subunit ribosomal RNA". Lineage: Bacteria; Bacillati; Bacillota; Clostridia; Eubacteriales; Clostridiaceae. The record is from RNAcentral.